Molecule: microRNA, 22 nt
Filed under: Brugia malayi
Lineage: Eukaryota; Metazoa; Nematoda; Chromadorea; Rhabditida; Onchocercidae
Description: bma-miR-5366-5p
Source: miRBase by way of RNAcentral
UAAAUGCACUAUGUUGCUAAUU